AUUACCUUGACAGAUUAGUGUGGUAAAUUUAGAAUUUAUUUAAGAAAUUUAUUUGAUAAUUUCAGGUAGUA
RNAcentral lists this transfer RNA (71 nucleotides) under Janus sp. 1 GYN-2022e. RNAcentral's name for it is "tRNA-Leu". The record is from RNAcentral. Lineage: Eukaryota; Metazoa; Arthropoda; Insecta; Hymenoptera; Cephidae.